GCCAAUUCAAGGGCACCCAAUGACACUUAGUCUGCCAAACAAGAGAUCCAAACCCAACCCAUAAAACAAAGCUCAAGAGCUAUUGCUAGCUUGAGAAGAUCCUCUGACUUAGGAAGAACGCUGCUAUUCAGCCCCCAAGGAAGGAAUGAGACGGCAAUAAAGCUUGCAAGGAUUGAGUCAAAAAGGAGAAACACCAGAAAGGAUUGUCAAAGGAUCCCAGCAAACACGAAAGUUAAUGAGGCAACUUCGGAGAACUUCAUUGAGUAGAAUAAAUAAUACAAUCCUCGCCUUUUCUCAGUUAGAUCAUUAUAAUCACUUUCAUAAUCAACUUAAUGAACCCAAAAAAUAAGAAAAAGAAAACAUUGCAGAUUCAACUAACUGCUUCUAAAUCUACUUCUGCAUCUGUCUCUCCAUCUAUCAUCCCUGCCUCUACCUCCCCAUCAGCUUCUAAUUGGCCUGCCUCUUGACCAACAUCCGUGUCAGGGCUUUGCUUUUGAUGUUCUUCAGGUGUUGGAGUGCCACCUUGGGAGGUACUGACUGCUGUAGCCAUUGCAUCAGUGUCCAUUGGAGCAGCAGAGGCUUCAUCAGCUCUGACUCCUUCACCAUCAAUCUCACUUGCAGGUGUUGCAAUCUGAUUCUCUUCUGCUUGAUUUGAUGCACCCUUUGCCUCUUCCUUUUUGGCACGCUUAGUUCUGUCACUAGGUUUAGCUUGGUAUCUGGACCGGACAUCUGGUGGCAGUAGUUCUAGGGGAACAACUCCUUCAAUACCAUGGUCGGUAAAUCUGGAAAAUCCGUCCAAGUCCUGCCUAGCUGAAAAACGCAGACCUUUCCAGCAAUAUACCUGCAGAAAAAAGAUAAUAAUAAAAAAUAUUAAAAAAAAACUUCUCCACAUUACUCAUGAGAAGUCAAAUUGCAGCAAAAACUAAGAAAUAAGUUUCUUUUCUUAAAAAAUAUAAAAUAGGAAACUAAAAGCAAGCAUGCUUAUUGACCAAGUUGCUCUUCAUGAAAGCACCUAUGGAAUUUGGCCACCUAUAAGUGCAGUCCAUAGAAUGAUUCCUGUGAUAGCUUCUCUGAUUAAUAUCUGGUACACUUCUAUGUGCUAACCUACUCACCAAAGAUAUUUUACACCCAAAAAAAAAGGCUAUUUGAAAACCUUCGUACUUGAAUUCCCAAUGUAAACACAUCGUAUUAGUCAAUAAACCAAACACAUUCUAGUCAUUGGCACACCUUUGGGCCCAAAAUUGAGCAUUUAAUCUCAAAUAGGAAUAGGUUCUCACAAGAUAUACAAUAACCGUCUGUAUGCAUAUAGUUGGAAGAGAAAAGUAGCAAGUCCACGUGCAGAAAUUUUAUUCUUCUACUUAAGGUAGUCACAGUUGCAAGAGAUCCUCUGACAUUCUAAUAGUCUUAAUCAUAUUUCCAACCUACAAUUCAAUAGUAUUAUCUAAGUAAAUUCCAUAUGUCCAAAGGUUUAGACUGCUUCCCUCAUUUUCAAGAACAAUGUAUCCAGAAGGCAAUUCUACAGAGCAUGUAUAUAUUCAGUGUUAUUACUAGCAUCAAACCCCAGUUGUAUAAAAUAGCAGUACACGUUAAAAGUGGAUGAGGCUCUGAAAAUGAAAGAAAAGACCAACGCUCACCCGGUUAUUUUUGUGGUGAUAUUCAGCUUCUAUUCCAGCUGAUGGGUCCAUAUCUUCGGCCAAGGGUUUCCAAUAUUCUGUGAUGGCAGGAGUUCGAACGCGUUGAGGAUCAGUCAAAGCAUUCGGAUUCUGAUCUGCCCACUUCCACAGUUGGGAGAGUUCUUUAUUCCCGAGUCUCCACCUUGGCCUACGUUUUUUAUUUCCAUCUUGGACUGUUUUGUUCUCUAUUGGCUGCUUUUCAAAUGGAGGACAACCGUCUCGUUUCCACCAUACCCAAUUCUUUUCACGUUCAAGUAUAUGCUCAAUUUUUUGAAGAAAAUCCUUUCCUUUAGGUGGAGUUGUUUCAAGUAGUUUCUUCACAUGCUCCUCACAAGUUUUUAUUUCUUCUUUCAUGCUUUCAGAUGUCAAAUCUUUGUCAUUCUUUCCAGGAGCCUUAAGAUAGUCAAACAAUAUAAGGCACUGCACAAGAACAUGGCGUCGAAAACUUGGAUCUUUUAACUUUCAACACCAGUUACCUCUAAACCCAUCAGUUUACUGCUUGUGAGAUAUUUUAUGUUAAAAGUUGCUGCCUCUUCCUCCAAGUUGUUAGCAUCUCCUUCUUCCUCGCUCAAAGGCUGAGCUUCAAAGGUAUUCAACACAACCAUCAAACUGGAUGUAAAUUUCUGCCACUUGGUUGGAGCAAGCGUUAGAGAAGCUGGGUUACAGAAGUGUUCCUGAAACACAAGCGGACAUGUUCAUAGAAAACUCAGCUUAAGUAUCAAGGCAGUUUCGAAAAUUAACUUCUAUUAACUGUCUAAUAAAAAUAAAUAAAUAGAUUAAGGUUUUAAUCUCCAGAUCACAAUCUUCUCAGCAUCAACCAUCCUUAAUAGAACUCAACUCUAGUCUCAAACUUGUUAGGAUCAACUGCACCAACACUUCUUCCUCUGUUAUUUCCUCACCCAUGCAAAACCAUCCGUUAAAAAAUAAACCUUGAGUAGCUAUUUUCCAACUCAUGAUUAUUUGCUGCAAAGCAAACCCUCUAGUAUUUCAUUUUUAAUAACGAUAUUUUAUUUUAGAAAUAUUAACAGGAAUUCCCACACAAAUAUAUGCCUAGGCUCAAAAGAAAUGAGAAAAGUGGGUGAUUUUGUUUAGUAAUAUUAUUUAUGGUAUUAAACAUAAAUUUGGCAGCAGCAGUAGAUAACUAAAAAAACGAGCGAGCAGACACAGUUACGUUCUUGAGACCAAACCAGCCAAAAGUGCAGUUAGUUUACAAUAAAGUUAUGGCUCCAAGAUAUAAUUUGGAUUAAGAUGAUUACUUUGAAACCAAGCACAAUAGUAACUCAUAUAAGGAAAUACCCCAAGAGUGAGAAGGUUAUGAUUGCACAAAGACAAUCAGUUCCCUUCCCCCCAACUAAAAAUUAUACCAAGUGGCAUAGUUUACCUGUAAACUCCAUAAAGUUUUAUAGAAGUUAAAGUCAACAGAAAUACCUGAUAGGAAGUGAACAGAUCAGUACACAGGAUCAUAAAGUAAAGCUAUAGAGUAGAUACAAAGUUUACUAGAAAGCUGUGCAGCAAGGUUGUACCAGCAGGUGGGUCUUUCUCAUAUUUAGUCUCAUUUGAUGUGUUGAAAACUCCCUUUAUAUUCACAGCUGAACGUUCAGACAGUGGAAAAAAAUGUGCCAAAAACAUGAGAAUUCGUCCACAAAAUACAACAUCAUUAGCCUUUGAAAGACGACGAAGAAGUUGGUUACACGUUCUCAACAUCACAAGUUUUCCACGAGCAAAAAGUUCUUGCUUCCCAAGUAUGUCUUGCUUGCUCUCUAUAUAACCAAAAGUAUCUUUGCAAUUCCUCAUUGUAGACAUUUCUGUCAAAUCUUCCAACAACUGGAAUAUCAUACCGCCCUCAACAUGUUCUCUCUCACAAAGAUACAACACAACAUCUAAAAGACGAGGAAUCUGACCCUGAAAGUUUUCCCCAUCAUCAAUUGAUUGCCCGUACUGCAUUAUUUCCUCCCCUGACUGUACUGCAGAAGACACAAGCUCCUGAAGCAAUGUCCGAAGCAUAUUUUCUAACAAUUGAUUCUCGUCUUGGGCUAGUUUGGUUUGCCUCUGGGGUUUAAUGAAUUCUUGAACGGUCUGGAGAGCAAAGCUUUCAGGUGGUCCAGGCUGCAAUAUGGCCCUUCUAAAUUCUUCCAUUUUCAAGAUUCUACCACGCAGCAAACUCAAGCAAGCACGAAGCAAAGUCUCAAUACCAACCUAUAAACAAUGCUUCAAUCUGCAAUUACGAAACUGCUGAAGCUGGGAAACUGCUGAAGCUGGGUACGUAAUCGAAGUAGACCCAGAAUCAAAAGGAACAAAGGGGAAGAGAGAAACGGCUGGGUGAUUUUCAAGCUAGAAAGAAACCAAAAACGAGACAGUGG
Molecule: unclassified non-coding RNA, 4033 nt
Filed under: Hevea brasiliensis (rubber tree)
Lineage: Eukaryota; Viridiplantae; Streptophyta; Magnoliopsida; Malpighiales; Euphorbiaceae
Source: RNAcentral